This 1424-nucleotide long non-coding RNA is filed under the name Lynx pardinus (Iberian lynx). Lineage: Eukaryota; Metazoa; Chordata; Mammalia; Carnivora; Felidae. The record is from RNAcentral.
UGAAAUCAGGACCUGGGGACAAUAAGGCCACCGGUAACAUUGUGACCCAGGAUGGCUAAAGCGCUGAUUCACAAUUAGCUGCUGCACUGUGGCUAAGGAUUAGGGAGAAUUAGGACUGUAUGUCAGAUCUCUGACACUCAAGUCUACACCCUGGACACAGUGGCACCAGAUGCGUGUCAGGCGGUGUGUGGGGACGUUCAACGACUUGAUUUAAAAGAAAAAUCAUCUGUAGAUAGGACGUUGUUUAUUUGCCCGGCUCAGAUUUGACUUUGUGCCAUUUUGGUGGAAAGAAAGAGAACCAGAUCUGCUAGUGUAUGUAAUAAAUCUCCCCCAAGAGGCAGGGAGUUUGGCCAACUGAAAAUGUGAAGCGAGUUAUUUGCAUACACUUUAAGAUUACUUUAGGAACAAGCAUUGGAAAACCUUGUGUCCAUCACAAAUUGAUGAUUUCUACCUUCAGGUACUACAUAAAACAAGUAUAAAAUUAAUAAAACCAGUCUGAGUGGAGUAGCACUGUGUAUAUUUCAAAGGUUUUCACAACAAAGGUUUUUCACUAAUUUUGACAAGAUUUCCACCACUCACCACAAAUAUGUAUGCCCCUUAUUAAAAUAAUAAGGUACUUAAGUAAUAAGACUUCUGCCUAUGUAUAUACAUAGAAAAUAAUUGGAUUCUCAUUCACACACUUUGUAACUGAGCAAAUUUGCUUCUUCACUCUAAUUGGGCCGUGAGUCGUCUUUUUAAGUCCAUACUUAAAUGCCACUUAAAGAAUUUUUUCCCGUAACCUCAUAACUGUAAUUAAGUCCCCAUGUUACACUGUCUCUUAAAAGCCACACAUUUUAUGCGGAGCAUUUAUAGUGAUUUACAAUUUUAUAUGCAUGUUUGUUUAAUAUCUCUCUUCCCUAUUAAUGUCUUAUCUACCCCUGUAUCUCAAGUCCCCAGCACCAUAGCAGAGACUUUGCAUAUUCAUGAAUGAAUAAUGAAUAAAUGAGAAACAGACAUAAGAGUGAGUAUGUGUUCCCUUAAGGAAGCAAAGAGCAGCCCCCGGUAAGCCUUUGCUGUAUUUUGUUUCUCUUCCAGAAAUGUCUGUGAUAUUUCUUCUUGUAUAUUUAUAAUAAAAUUCUCUUUUCUUGAGCCAGCUGGAAUGAGUCUCCAUUCCUUGGAACGGAAGAGUCCUAAGUCAUAGCUAGAGAAUGGGGCACAUUGACAGAAUUGUCAAAGUGAAUAUAAUAAUAACAAGGUAACGUUCUAGCAGGAAGCAUCGCAGGAAAGCAAGAGUCCCCUUGAUAUUGUUUAUCCUUGCUUGGUCCAAUCUGAAACUGAAACUCCCAACCAAUUUGCUUCUUAAAUUUGACCCUUUAAAACUGGCCUCUGACUCCACCUGGUGGAGAUUCAGAAACCUGUGGAAAUAAACCAAUCCAAAUGAGGAU